GGAGUUAUAUUGAUGAUCUGGAAAGUACCGUGAGUCCCAAACUGUUCCACACACCAUAUGGUUCCUUCCUAAGCUCAUUGUCCUUCGAUUAAAGGAAUCACCUUGGGACAGAUCCCUGGUAUGUCUUCUCCAAGAAAUUGUCCCUCUUGUAUGCCCCUCAUAAUCUUCCUCGUAACAAUUGGAUGAGCUGCAACCCCUUCCUUCAAUCCAGCAAUUUCCCAUUCCAAUAUCAUCAGCACUGGGACGGCAAGUGCCAGAUGAGAACCGUACUCAUGCUUGGCAACUUGUCAAGACCAAGGGGCUUUUGCAAACUUGACAUUGCUGAAUUGAAGAGAAAAGCUUGAAGGG
RNAcentral lists this unclassified non-coding RNA (348 nucleotides) under Hevea brasiliensis (rubber tree). The record is from RNAcentral. Lineage: Eukaryota; Viridiplantae; Streptophyta; Magnoliopsida; Malpighiales; Euphorbiaceae.